GACGAACGCUGGCGGCGUGCCUAAUACAUGCAAGUAGAACGCUGAAGGAGGAGCUUGCUUCUCUGGAUGGGUUGCGAACGGGUGAGUAACGCGUAGGUAACCUGCCUGGUAGCGGGGGAUAACUAUUGGAAACGAUAGCUAAUACCGCAUAAGAGUAGAUGUCGCAUGACAUUUGCUUGAAAGGUGCAAUUGCAUCACUACUAGAUGGACCUGCGUUGUAUUAGCUAGUUGGUGAGGUAACGGCUCACCAAGGCAACGAUACAUAGCCGACCUGAGAGGGUGAUCGGCCACACUGGGACUGAGACACGGCCCAGACUCCUACGGGAGGCAGCAGUAGGGAAUCUUCGGCAAUGGACGGAAGUCUGACCGAGCAACGCCGCGUGAGUGAAGAAGGUUUUCGGAUCGUAAAGCUCUGUUGUAAGAGAAGAACGAGUGUGAGAGUGGAAAGUUCACACUGUGACGGUAUCUUACCAGAAAGGGACGGCUAACUACGUGCCAGCAGCCGCGGUAAUACGUAGGUCCCGAGCGUUGUCCGGAUUUAUUGGGCGUAAAGCGAGCGCAGGCGGUUAGAUAAGUCUGAAGUUAAAGGCUGUGGCUUAACCAUAGUACGCUUUGGAAACUGUUUAACUUGAGUGCAAGAGGGGAGAGUGGAAUUCCAUGUGUAGCGGUGAAAUGCGUAGAUAUAUGGAGGAACACCGGUGGCGAAAGCGGCUCUCUGGCUUGUAACUGACGCUGAGGCUCGAAAGCGUGGGGAGCAAACAGG
This 763-nucleotide ribosomal RNA is filed under the name uncultured Streptococcus sp. RNAcentral describes it as "bacterial SSU rRNA". It matches the Rfam family "Bacterial small subunit ribosomal RNA", at positions 28 to 776 of the family's 1533-position model. The record is from RNAcentral. Lineage: Bacteria; Bacillati; Bacillota; Bacilli; Lactobacillales; Streptococcaceae.